RNAcentral lists this ribosomal RNA (513 nucleotides) under uncultured Glomus. RNAcentral describes it as "SSU rRNA". It matches the Rfam family "Eukaryotic small subunit ribosomal RNA", at positions 569 to 1081 of the family's 1831-position model. The record is from RNAcentral. Lineage: Eukaryota; Fungi; Glomeromycota; Glomeromycetes; Glomerales; Glomeraceae.
AGCAGCCGCAGUAAUUCCAGCUCCAAUAGCGUAUAUUAAAGUUGUUGCAGUUAAAAAGCUCGUAGUUGAAUUUCGGGGUCAGUAGGUUGGUCGUGCCACUGGUAUGCACUGGUCUCACUGAUUCCUCCUUCCUGAUGAACCGUAAUGCCAUUAAUUUGGUGUUGCGGGGAAUCUGGACUGUUACUUUGAAAAAUUUAGAGUGUUUAAAGCAGGCUAACGCUUGAAUACAUUAGCAUGGAAUAAUGAAAUAGGACGAUCGAUCCUAUUUUGUUGGUUUCUAGGAUUGACGUAAUGAUUAAUAGGGAUAGUUGGGGGCAUUAGUAUUCAAUUGUCAGAGGUGAAAUUCUUAGGAUUUAUUGAAGACUAACUACUGACGAAAGCAUUUGCCAAGGAUGUUUUCAUUAAUCAAGAACGAAAGUUAGGGGAUCGAAGACGAUCAGAUACCGUCGUAGUCUUAACCAUAAACUAUGCCGACUAGGGAUCGGAUGAUGUUUAAUUUUUAUGUACUCAUUC